RNAcentral lists this long non-coding RNA (201 nucleotides) under Vicia faba (fava bean). Lineage: Eukaryota; Viridiplantae; Streptophyta; Magnoliopsida; Fabales; Fabaceae. The record is from RNAcentral.
AUGACUUUUGCUAUCUAUGAUGGUUCGGGAGUAAUUGAAGCAAGCAGUAGUCAUAGUGCUGGUGAGCUGGAGUCAAUAGCGAGGAGAGCUUAUGGACAAUCCAUUAGGAUUCCGGCGGCUUUUGCCACUUAUGAUCCGUGUUCACAAGAGCGAGACGGUUCAAUGUCUUACAAUGUUCAAGCAGCAUUCUUGCCGGAAUGA